Molecule: long non-coding RNA, 654 nt
Organism: Hibiscus syriacus
Lineage: Eukaryota; Viridiplantae; Streptophyta; Magnoliopsida; Malvales; Malvaceae
Exons: 3
Source: RefSeq, a predicted model, not a curated record
ACCCCUUUAUUCCCCUGUAUUUGAAAUUGUACAUUGUCUUUAUUAAUGUAGGCUUCUACCGGUGCUUGUUUGUUUGCAGUUAAUGAAUUUAUUAUUUUCCUUUUUGGAUUCGAAUCACUCUCAGAGUACACCACUGACUGGGUACUUCAGCAAGGUUGUCAUAUGUUUGCUGUUGCGGAAGACAUUGCCAUUCCUGCUGUAUGUUAAGGCUGUUUCUUCUGUUAUAUGUUCCUGACUGGUGGGAAAUGCAUGGUUGGAUCCAAAGUGCAUGUUCCCUCAGUGACAAAGAAUUGAUAUAUCAGCUUGCUAAGUUUGGAAGGCAAUGCUUUGAAUUGCUUUACAUAUGCUUGUAUCUUUGUUGGGCUUUUUUUUUUUUUUAUGUAGAUUGAAUCUCGCCUGUAGCACUAACAUGAAACUAAGUUACUGGCAAUCUAGAUAGAUUGGGUUUGUGCGGCAUGAAAUGGAAUUUAGGCAGCACCUAUCUUGAAAGGGGUUAUUAUUGGGGGUAUUCUCUCCCCUUGUUUUAUCCAAUUCAUUUGGAGUUCCAAGCUAAUUGGGCACUCUAGAAAAUAGUGGAUCAUUUUAGUUGAUUGUUGGCUAACUGAUUCUAUCAAGAAAUUUAUUUAUAGGUGCAAUUUCCUCUUUCUUAUGGGA